This 77-nucleotide transfer RNA is filed under the name Nitrospirota bacterium. RNAcentral's name for it is "tRNA-Arg". It matches the Rfam family "tRNA". Rfam says of the family: Transfer RNA (tRNA) molecules are approximately 80 nucleotides in length. Their secondary structure includes four short double-helical elements and three loops (D, anti-codon, and T loops). The record is from RNAcentral. Lineage: Bacteria; Pseudomonadati; Nitrospirota.
GCGCCCGUAGCUCAGCUGGAUAGAGUGACGGACUUCGAAUCCGCGGGUCGCAGGUUCGAAUCCUGCCGGGCGCACCA